RNAcentral lists this transfer RNA (97 nucleotides) under Sporomusaceae bacterium. Its description in RNAcentral is "tRNA-Sec". It matches the Rfam family "Selenocysteine transfer RNA". Lineage: Bacteria; Bacillati; Bacillota; Negativicutes; Selenomonadales; Sporomusaceae. The record is from RNAcentral.
GGGGGCGGAUGGGGCCUGGUGGCUCCUGCGGUCUUCAAAACCGUUUUCGGGGCGCUAACCCGUCCCGGGUGGGUUCGAUUCCUACACGCUCCCGCCA